ACAUCAGUGGUUCAGUGGUUGAAUUCUCUCCUUCCAUGUGGGAGACCUGGGUUCAAUUCCCAGCCAGUGCA
This 71-nucleotide transfer RNA is filed under the name Loxodonta africana (African savanna elephant). It matches the Rfam family "tRNA". Rfam says of the family: Transfer RNA (tRNA) molecules are approximately 80 nucleotides in length. Their secondary structure includes four short double-helical elements and three loops (D, anti-codon, and T loops). Lineage: Eukaryota; Metazoa; Chordata; Mammalia; Proboscidea; Elephantidae. The record is from Rfam by way of RNAcentral.